GACGAACGCUGGCGGCGUGCUUAACACAUGCAAGUCGAACGGAAAGGCCCUGCUUUUGUGGGGUGCUCGAGUGGCGAACGGGUGAGUAACACGUGAGUAACCUGCCCUUGACUUUGGGAUAACUUCAGGAAACUGGGGCUAAUACCGGAUAGGAGCUCCUGCUGCAUGGUGGGGGUUGGAAAGUUUCGGCGGUUGGGGCUGGACUCGCGGCUUAUCGGCUUGUUGGUGGGGUAGUGGCUUACCAAGGCUUUGACGGGUAGCCGGCCUGAGAGGGUGACCGGCGACAUUGGGACUGCGAUACGGCCCAGACGCCUACGGGAGGCAGCAGGGGGGAAUAUUGCACAAUGAGCGGAAGCCUGAUGCAGCAACGUUGCGUGCGGGAUGACGGCCUUCGGGUUGUAAACCGCUUUCGCCUGUGACGAAGCGUGAGUGACGGUAAUGGGUAAAGAAGCACCGGCUAACUACGUG
RNAcentral lists this ribosomal RNA (468 nucleotides) under uncultured bacterium. RNAcentral's name for it is "partial 16S ribosomal RNA". It matches the Rfam family "Bacterial small subunit ribosomal RNA", at positions 28 to 507 of the family's 1533-position model. The record is from RNAcentral.